GAAGACUGUAGAAGUGAAAUUUUUCACCGUCCACCUGUAGAGGGGUCCUCAACCGAGCGAAAGGAUUGCUGCCUAAAGCCAGAGAGAGACAUUAACACAUUAAGAAAAACAUUUUGGCCGUGCUCUGUGAAGAGGAGAUGUCACAUGUGUGUCGUUUUUGCGGAGAGGCCCUCAAAACCACGUGGGGCUGAAACGGCACGAGGACAGGCACCGCGGCUUGUCAAAGUAUUCUUGCUGUGAGAAGCAAUUCAGUACAAAAGAGGACCUCACCAGACACAUGUGCAGUGCGCAUGGGGACACGAGACAACAUGUUUGUCCAACCUGUUGUGCAACUUUUGCCACAAAGACAGAUCUAACAAACCGAAGAAGAGACGACUCAUCCGUAAGAUUCCGGUGUGAUGUGUGUGGGGCUGAAUUGAAAGAAAGGGUGGACUAACAGGCGCACAUGCAUAUUCAUAGUGAUUUAAAAAUGCAAACAUGUGACAAAUGUCGGAAGUCUUACAGACACAGAAGCAGUCUGUCAAAACACAAGGCAAAGAAACAUGCCAAUUAAAUGUGCAUAUUGUUAAGAUAAUAAUAAUGAUGCACGCUAUUUGUGUUAUUAAGUUCUGUUAUAUUUUCAAUGUUUAUUUUCAUUGUUACCGGUAGUACAUUUUACUGUUAAUAUGAUCUCACCUUGUUUUGUUUCGUUUUCCACCCGAAAGCGGAGGUAUAUUGUUUUUCCCUCCAAAUGCGGAGCGACACUAUUUUAGAGUUGUCCGUCCGUCCUUCCGUCACACUUUUUUCUUUAUCUCAAUUUGAUUUUUGGUAUAACAUUUUGAUGGUAUUAACAGUAAUUGUUUGGUGAUACUAGAAAUUUACAAUAGUACGAAUAUACGAAUGUAUUAACCCCAAUAUCUCAAUGCAUUCAUUCAAAUUUUCCCGUGUCACUUUUUGAAACGCUUUGGCAGAUUAUUCAUUUGCUUAAAUUUACAUAGAUGUUCGGACGCAUUGUACUUUAGUAUUUUUAUGCAACGCAAUUAUUCCUUCAAUCCUAUAACUCUAAACUUUAAAAGUAAUAUAUUUACUUGAGAAACUUUGUAAAUACGUAAAUGGUGCUUGGUUAUAUAACAUUUCAAUGAUUUUUGCAGGUUGAACAAGAAAGUUUUAACUCGAGAGCGAAGUUUAGUUGUUUGUGUUUUUUUCUUUUUGAAAUGUUGUUGCAAUAUGUAUGUGUUAUUGGUAAUUUUUUCAUUCUGAUUAUCUGUGAUUUCUUUCUACAUUUUAUUUCAAAAUUAUGUUGUGAUAUUCAACUAAUAAUAUGUGUGUUUUCAUGUUAAGAUAUAUUUAUUGACUAUUCAUUUUUAUAAUGUUCAUAAUUAAUAAAGUUUUUUGCUUUCAGAUUUAAUGUUACUUUGUGUUUUUUCAAUACGGUUUAUUCGGAGAGCUUCACUCAAGUAGUGUGUGUGCGCCUGUGCGUGUG
This is a long non-coding RNA of Dreissena polymorpha, 1462 nucleotides long. RefSeq lists it as uncharacterized. NCBI's taxonomy places the organism in Eukaryota, Metazoa, Mollusca, Bivalvia, Myida, Dreissenidae. The record is from RefSeq and is a predicted model, not a curated record. The transcript has 3 exons.